This 417-nucleotide ribosomal RNA is filed under the name uncultured bacterium. RNAcentral's name for it is "bacterial SSU rRNA". It matches the Rfam family "Bacterial small subunit ribosomal RNA", at positions 30 to 448 of the family's 1533-position model. The record is from RNAcentral.
AUUGAACGCUGGCGGCAUGCCUUACACAUGCAAGUCGAACGGCAGCACGGGAGCAAUCCUGGUGGCGAGUGGCGAACGGGUGAGUAAUAUAUCGGAACGUGCCCGGUCGUGGGGGAUAACGUAGCGAAAGCUACGCUAAUACCGCAUACGAUCUACGGAUGAAAGCGGGGGAUCGCAAGACCUCGCGCGAUUGGAGCGGCCGAUAUCAGAUUAGGUAGUUGGUGAGGUAAAGGCUCACCAAGCCGACGAUCUGUAGCUGGUCUGAGAGGACGACCAGCCACACUGGGACUGAGACACGGCCCAGACUCCUACGGGAGGCAGCAGUGGGGAAUUUUGGACAAUGGGCGCAAGCCUGAUCCAGCAAUGCCGCGUGCAGGAUGUAGGCCUCGGUUGUAACGUAGCUUUUGUUACGGUAAC